UAGUCCACGCCGUAAACGAUGAGCACUAGUUAUGGGUACGGUUACGUAUCUGUGACGCAGCUAACGCAUUAAGUGCUCCGCCUGGGGAGUACGGCCGCAAGGCUAAAACUCAAAGGAAUUGACGGGGGCCCGCACAAGCGGUGGAUCAUGUGGUUUAAUUCGAAGCAACGCGCAGAACCUUACCUGGGUUUGAAAUCUUGAGAAUCUGUAUGAAAGUACGGAGUGCCCUUCGGGGAAUUCAAUGACAGGCGCUGCAUGGCUGUCGUCAGCUCGUGUUGUGAAAUGUUGGGUUAAGUCUCGCAACGAGCGGAACCCCUGUCCUUAGUUGCCAGCAUUAAGUUGGGCACUCUAGGGAGACCGCCGGGGUUAACCCGGAGGAAGGUGGGGAUGACGUCAAGUCCUCAUGGCCCUUAUAUCCAGGGCUACACACGUGAUACAAUGGUUGGUACAGAGGGAUGCAAACUUGCAAAAGCUAGCAAAUCUCAAAAAGCCAAUCUCAGUCCGGAUUGG
This 510-nucleotide ribosomal RNA is filed under the name uncultured bacterium. RNAcentral's name for it is "bacterial SSU rRNA". It matches the Rfam family "Bacterial small subunit ribosomal RNA", at positions 791 to 1301 of the family's 1533-position model. The record is from RNAcentral.